This is a long non-coding RNA of Dreissena polymorpha, 934 nucleotides long. RefSeq lists it as uncharacterized. NCBI's taxonomy places the organism in Eukaryota, Metazoa, Mollusca, Bivalvia, Myida, Dreissenidae. The transcript is spliced from 3 exons. The record is from RefSeq and is a predicted model, not a curated record.
AGAUUCACGUAGAAUGCGUCGCAUCGAAAGGGAUACGAAGUUAUGACGCUAAGUGCAAAGAUUCGCUUUGGGAUCCAAUGCUUCCAAAUUGCGAUGGAGAAAACCAGCACAUGUCAAAUAAACAAGCAACAAUAAUGAUCGCCUCAGUGGUACCUUCGGUGGUGUUACUCGGUGUAGUAAUGGCUCUAGCUGUUCAUUGCUGUAAACUUAAAAGAAAGCAAACAGAGAAUCCGAUAGAUACAAACUAUUGCACAACAACGGAGAUGUUAAAAAGCAAAUCAAAUUACGACAUGCUUGACACAUGCACAGUGGCAGAGAAGGGCAGUGGAACGAACCGUUAACGAUGCGUCGAACACAAACGCAGUUUCAUCAAAAGCUUAGUUAACUAAUCAAUCCGUUUGAGUUUUGUCUUACAGCCUUAUUUGAUUCGAGUAGAACAAAGAUAAAUGUAAGCACGUAUGCUAUAAAAUUGCUAAGUUUGAAAAUAAAAUUGAAUUCCAAUUUUUGAAAAUAAAAAUGAUAACACGACAUCAUCCAUCGAAACAUUGUUGUUACUUUCAUUAAAUGUUUUACAUUAAGAAACAUGUUUUUAUUUGAUGUGUGGUUAUGUUUAGUAAAACUUAAAGGCAGCUUUUUUGAAACAAUGAUGAAAAAUGGAAAAACUUGGGAUGGUAUUCGAUUGGAAAAAGCAUAGGACUUCCGUUCAUUGCGGCUGUCGACGAGUUUGUUGUCGAGCAAGAUUUAUUGGAUUAUGUGACUUAAUUCGUAUCUUCUGAGGUCUCUAAAAGGAUAUGUGCAAUUAAUGCUAGUAGCUUGUGCCCGUUGAUAUCGUAAUUAUGAUAUUCUUCUCGACACUUUAUUCACCUGUUUGUCAAAGGUAUUUAUUUCUAUCUAUUUACAGACUCUCUGUACUGUUACAUGUACCAUGUUAUAA